This is a long non-coding RNA of Beta vulgaris subsp. vulgaris (sugar beet), 872 nucleotides long. RefSeq lists it as uncharacterized. Lineage: Eukaryota; Viridiplantae; Streptophyta; Magnoliopsida; Caryophyllales; Amaranthaceae. The record is from RefSeq and is a predicted model, not a curated record. The transcript has 3 exons.
GCUUUUGUUUGUUUUUAUAGUUUAUCAAAUUUAAUAUUUAUCAUUUUCAAAUGAAGAUUGUUGCACUUUGUUCUUUGGGUGUGAUUAAGGUGGAGGAUCUUUUCAGUAUGACCGUAUAUGUUAACAAAACUUUAUUUUUGCUCUCGCACGCAUCGCGUGCAUAUAAGACUAGUGUUGAAUAACUGUACAAGUCUUGCAGUUCCCAAUUUUUCAUGUUUAAGAAAAACAAAAUAUACGAUUCAGUUAUUCAUCAAUCUCUAUCAUCUUCUUCCCUUCUCCUUCUCCCUUCCAUAAUUUCAUCUUUUUCCAUAAUUUUCUUGCACUUCUUCUACCUAUGCAUAAAAGAAACAUUGAUUGUAAGCAUGGUGUUAUGUUCUUUUGAUUGUUGAAUAAUUGUUCUGAAUUCUUAUUUCUCUUUCUUUUCCUCUUUCUACCUUUGCAUUAAAGAACAUUGAUCAAGAAAAAAUAAUACAGAAAGAGGACAAUUAUUCAACAACUAUUCAACAACUAAAAGAACAGAACACCAUGCUUAUAAAAUUGUUAGAAAUUGUCUGCUGACUUGCUGAGUGAAGUUAUUGAAGUUUUAGGUCAUAUAGACCCAUCCUUAUAAUUCUUUCUUAGCUUUGUAUGUCUGGUAUGAAUUUAAGCCAUUAACGACUUUGUUCUAUUUUUAUAAGGUUUACCGGGAAAUCAGUUGCGUGCAAGGCAAAGUAUGUUGUUCUAGCCUUGGUUUACCGGGAAAUCAGUUGCGUGCAAGGCAAAGUAUGUUGUUCUAGCCUUGAUCUUUGUAGACAGAGAGGGUGGGCAAAUUGACUGUCAAUACUAAGAUGUACUUGGGAUAUUUAUUGAAAUUGGUAUUAGAAAGAUGGAGC